RNAcentral lists this non-coding RNA (276 nucleotides) under Natronobacterium lacisalsi AJ5. RNAcentral describes it as "Halobiforma lacisalsi AJ5 Archaeal large subunit ribosomal RNA". It matches the Rfam family "Archaeal large subunit ribosomal RNA", at positions 497 to 778 of the family's 2987-position model. Lineage: Archaea; Methanobacteriati; Methanobacteriota; Halobacteria; Halobacteriales; Natrialbaceae. The record is from Rfam by way of RNAcentral.
GAGCGAACGCUGAAAAGCACCCCACGAAGGGAGGUGCAAUAGGGCGUGAAAUCAGUUGGCGAUAGAGCGACGGGGCACACAAGGUCCCGAUCAAAAUGACCGUAGCGCGAGCUACCAGUAAGAAGAUCGGGAAGCCGGUGUUCCGUCGUACGUUUUGAAAAACGAACCAGGGAGUGUGUCUGAUUGGCGAGUCUAACCCGAGUAUCGGGGCAGGCGUAGGGAAACCGACAUGGCCGCAGCAUUGCGAGGGCCGCCGUGUUCAAGCGCGGGGAGUCA